CAGCCGCCGCGGUAAUACAGAGGGUGCGAGCGUUAAUCGGAUUUACUGGGCGUAAAGCGUGCGUAGGCGGCUUUUUAAGUCGGAUGUGAAAUCCCUGAGCUUAACUUAGGAAUUGCAUUCGAUACUGGGAAGCUAGAGUAUGGGAGAGGAUGGUAGAAUUCCAGGUGUAGCGGUGAAAUGCGUAGAGAUCUGGAGGAAUACCGAUGGCGAAGGCAGCCAUCUGGCCUAAUACUGACGCUGAGGUACGAAAGCAUGGGGAGCAAACAGGAUUAGAUACCCCUGUAGUCCCUGUCUCUUAUAA
Molecule: ribosomal RNA, 301 nt
Filed under: uncultured bacterium
Lineage: Bacteria
Description: partial 16S ribosomal RNA
Rfam family: Bacterial small subunit ribosomal RNA
Source: RNAcentral